RNAcentral lists this non-coding RNA (29 nucleotides) under Rattus norvegicus (Norway rat). The record is from RNAcentral. Lineage: Eukaryota; Metazoa; Chordata; Mammalia; Rodentia; Muridae.
UGUCUUAUCUAUUGCAAGUAAUAUUUUUC